GAAAUAACUUUGGCUAUCAUCCUGACUCUACUGGGACUUGCUAUUCUGGCUCUUUUGUUAACAAGAUGGACACAACUCAAGCAAAAUGAAAUGGAUGGCUCAAGAUACAAUUCAGAACAAAGUGCCAGUCUUCUGGACUAUGAGGACGGUAGAGG
Long non-coding RNA from Pipistrellus kuhlii (Kuhl's pipistrelle), 155 nucleotides. RefSeq lists it as uncharacterized. The record is from RefSeq and is a predicted model, not a curated record. The transcript has 3 exons. NCBI's taxonomy places the organism in Eukaryota, Metazoa, Chordata, Mammalia, Chiroptera, Vespertilionidae.